UUUUGAAAAACGACCCAGGGAGUGCACUUGAUUGGCGAGUCUAACCCGUGAACCGGGGAAGGCGCAGGGAAACCGAUACGGCCGCAGCACAUUCGUGCGAGGGCCACCGUGUUCAAGCGCGGGGAGUCAAUCAGGUGCGACCCGAAACCAGGCGAUCUACGCGCGAGCAAGGUGAAGCGUGGCGAAAGCCACGUGGAGGCCUGUUAGAGUUGGU
Molecule: ribosomal RNA, 214 nt
Filed under: Halorubrum distributum JCM 9100
Lineage: Archaea; Methanobacteriati; Methanobacteriota; Halobacteria; Halobacteriales; Haloferacaceae
Description: partial 23S ribosomal RNA
Rfam family: Archaeal large subunit ribosomal RNA
Source: RNAcentral